Molecule: long non-coding RNA, 276 nt
Filed under: Prunus persica (peach)
Lineage: Eukaryota; Viridiplantae; Streptophyta; Magnoliopsida; Rosales; Rosaceae
Description: long non-coding RNA (PPER_LNC004966)
Source: RNAcentral
GCAAGACUGUUGGAGAGAGUUUCGAUGAUAUAGCUCAUUUAUUUGAGCAUUCUAAAGUUGUUGAAGAGGCUGGUAGAGAUGCUCUUACUAUUGCAUUUUUUUUUUUUUCAAUGUUUCAUUUCUUAGCAACCCUCUUGUUCGAUUGAGUUUGACUCUUCAGUUGUUGGACUUCAAUCUUGAAACCUAGGGCCUCCAAUUAUAUUUGUCACCCUCCAACAUUGAGACACGUGAUACGAGGGUUAUACUCCUAAGAUUCCCAAAAUACGCUAAGCCUUU